ACAUCUAAGUACCCUGAGGAAAAGAAAUCAACCGAGAUUCCCUUAGUAGUGGCGAGCGAACGGGGACCAGCCCUUAAGCUGUAUUGAUGUUAGCGGAACGCUCUGGAAAGUGCGGCCAUAGUGGGUGAUAGCCCUGUACGCGAAAACAUCUUUGCAGUGAAAUCGAGUAGGACGGAGCACGAGAAACUUUGUCUGAAUAUGGGGGGACCAUCCUCCAAGGCUAAAUACUACUGACUGACCGAUAGUGAACUAGUACCGUGAGGGAAAGGCGAAAAGAACCCCGGAGAGGGGAGUGAAAUAGAUCCUGAAACCGUAUGCGUACAAGCAGUGGGAGCCCACUU
This 341-nucleotide ribosomal RNA is filed under the name Escherichia coli. RNAcentral's name for it is "partial 23S ribosomal RNA". It matches the Rfam family "Bacterial large subunit ribosomal RNA", at positions 198 to 586 of the family's 2925-position model. Lineage: Bacteria; Pseudomonadati; Pseudomonadota; Gammaproteobacteria; Enterobacterales; Enterobacteriaceae. The record is from RNAcentral.